This 571-nucleotide long non-coding RNA is filed under the name Junco hyemalis (dark-eyed junco). RNAcentral's name for it is "lncRNA (ENSJHYG00000008185.1)". The record is from RNAcentral. Lineage: Eukaryota; Metazoa; Chordata; Aves; Passeriformes; Passerellidae.
GUGGAUUAAGGACAAGGAGAGGAUCAUGGAAUUUUCUCUUCCAGUUCAGUCCAUGCCAGUGACUUUCUGUUUGGUGAGGAAAGCUGUUUAUCCUCCCACUGUUGAUUUCCACUUGGAAUGAACUGGAAAUAGGUGUUGUUCUGGUGUUGCUGGUACUGUCACAUACCUGUGGAUGUUCCCAUCUGAAUGUCAAGAAUUUCCUUGGAUUUUCAUUGUGCAAUUUGUUUGUGGGCUGGAUUAGUGGAUCAGGACUGACUGCUGUAACAGAUCAUCACAUUUUUAUGUGUUAGGGUCCUGACCAGUUCAGAAGAAAUGUCCUGUGGAGAAGGAAUGGAGAUGCAAAGAAAAGCUGGGCUCCUGAUCCUCCAGUGCAUCCCUUGCUCCCAGCACAAGGUUCUUGCCAUGGCACUGGGCAUUGAGCUGGCCUCUGGCUGAGUUUCACCUCUCCCACCUCUGGUUCAGGCUGCAAUGUGGAGAAUCUUUGGCAGGAAAGGAGGUGAAGUAAAGAAGCAGCUAAUAUCAACUGAAGUGGAUCAAUAAAGGAUUUUAAACACUUGUUUAGAGAUAUUGA